CGCGCCGCCUCUCCCUCCUCCCUCUUUCUUCGGGCAGCCUUCCCACCACCCCACUUCAGCCUCCCCCACUCUUGCCGCCUCCAUAUCAUCAAGCUCUGGUGGCGCUUGGGGGGCUUUUCGGAUCGGCAGGAUGUACCCCCAGGGAAGGCACCCGGUGAGUGGGGACUGCGGGGAGGGGGCCCCCAGUGUCCGGGAACUCAGACCCUGACGUUUCCCCCAAACCCCCCCAGACCCCGCUCCAGUCCGGCCAACCCUUCAAGUUCUCGAUCUUGGAGAUCUGCGACCGCAUCAAAGAAGAAUUCCAGUUUCUCCAGGCUCAGUACCACAGCCUCAAGCUCGAAUGUGAGAAGCUGGCCAGCGAGAAGACGGAAAUGCAGCGACAUUAUGUCAUGUAUUAUGAGAUGUCUUACGGGCUCAACAUUGAAAUGCAUAAGCAGGCGGAGAUUGUGAAGCGUCUGAGCGGUAUCUGCGCUCAGAUUAUCCCUUUCCUGACCCAGGAGCAUCAGCAGCAGGUGCUCCAGGCCGUAGAGCGUGCCAAGCAGGUCACCGUGGGGGAGCUGAACAGCCUCAUCGGGGUGAGUCUAGCCCCUGCUCCGCCAUGGGGAGACGCCCACUCCCAGGUCCCUGGCACCCACCCAGGAGGUGUUAAAGCUGGGGGUGGUGUGUGGGCCUCGGCUCCGGCGGUCCUGGGAACCCUAGGGGCACAUGCUGUGCUUAGGUCCCAUCCCCUGUGUCUACCUCUUGGGCUGGGGACCGCUGGGCUCCUGCCGC
This 771-nucleotide small RNA is filed under the name Pongo abelii (Sumatran orangutan). RNAcentral describes it as "retained intron". Lineage: Eukaryota; Metazoa; Chordata; Mammalia; Primates; Hominidae. The record is from RNAcentral.